UCUUCGGCCAUGUACUCAAGUCUGACCGAGCAACGCCGCGUGAGUGAAGAAGGUUUUCGGAUCGUAAAACUCUGUUGCUAGAGAAGAACAAGGAUGAGAGUAGAACGUUCAUCCCUUGACGGUAUCUAACCAGAAAGCCACGGCUAACUACGUGCCAGCAGCCGCGGUAAUACGUAGGUGGCAAGCGUUGUCCGGAUUUAUUGGGCGUAAAGCGAGCGCAGGCGGUUCUUUAAGUCUGAUGUGAAAGCCCCCGGCUCAACCGGGGAGGGUCAUUGGAAACUGGGGAACUUGAGUGCAGAAGAGGAGAGUGGAAUUCCAUGUGUAGCGGUGAAAUGCGUAGAUAUAUGGAGGAACACCAGUGGCGAAGGCGGCUCUCUGGUCUGUAACUGACGCUGAGGCUCGAAAGCGUGGGGAGCAAACAGG
This 423-nucleotide ribosomal RNA is filed under the name uncultured bacterium. RNAcentral describes it as "bacterial SSU rRNA". It matches the Rfam family "Bacterial small subunit ribosomal RNA", at positions 362 to 776 of the family's 1533-position model. The record is from RNAcentral.